This 637-nucleotide unclassified non-coding RNA is filed under the name Hevea brasiliensis (rubber tree). Lineage: Eukaryota; Viridiplantae; Streptophyta; Magnoliopsida; Malpighiales; Euphorbiaceae. The record is from RNAcentral.
ACUGCAUUCCAUGUCUGGCAAAUGCUGAUGAAAUUGGAGUGUCGGGGUCCAUUGCAAAAUAUGGUACUAGGCCAACAAUAACAAUCGAAACCAUCAUAUAGAGGAAGCAACAUAUUGAAAGUGCUAAUCCAAUACCCCACGGUAAAUCACGUUGGGGAUUCUUUACCUCCUCAGCGGUGCUAGCAACUGAAUCAAAACCUAUGUAUGCAAAGAACACAGUUGCUGAUCCAGCAAGCACUCCAUUUACGCCAUAAGGGAAGUAUCCGCUAGAAACAGUAUAUCCGACCCAUCCAGUCUGAAAGCCAAGAUAUCCCCCAGCUAUAAUGACAAAUAUCAUGACACAAACAUUUGCAAUGGUGACGAUGCCUUGUACAAAUGUGCUCUCUCUUAUUCCCACACAUAGCAGCCCAGUGACAAUUAGAACAAGACCUGCAGCACAUGGAUCGACGACCACAUCAAGCCAUGGAAUGUGAGCACGUGACAGAAAAGAAGGCAAACUGUCUGGUCCACCGAAAAAUAUGGCCAAGUUCGGAGAUAUGCCACGUGCAACAGCCGAACCCCCGAUUGUAUAUUCCAGUAUCAGAGCCCAACCAAUCAACCAAGCAACACCUUCUCCAACACAAAUGUAUGAAUAGUG